CGGGAUUCUGUUCGAUUUUGAGGG
Molecule: microRNA, 24 nt
Filed under: Ixodes ricinus (castor bean tick)
Lineage: Eukaryota; Metazoa; Arthropoda; Arachnida; Ixodida; Ixodidae
Description: iri-miR-X24-3p
Source: RNAcentral